This is a long non-coding RNA of Chinchilla lanigera (long-tailed chinchilla), 997 nucleotides long. RefSeq lists it as uncharacterized. NCBI's taxonomy places the organism in Eukaryota, Metazoa, Chordata, Mammalia, Rodentia, Chinchillidae. The record is from RefSeq and is a predicted model, not a curated record. The transcript has 3 exons.
UAACCGGACGGCUGCGGAAGAGGCAAAGUAGCCCCAACCACGCAGAGCAAAGACAGCCUGGUCUAGAGCACAAGCGGUCCUCAGAGAGCAAUUGCCCUCCCAUUAUGCCUCUGCCUCUGGCAGCCACUGCUGAUGAUCAAAAGCUUUUAAUUGCUCUUUGCUGUAUUUAACAGAGAUUCCUGUCAUACACGAAAUUCCAGCUGAUCACAAAGAAGUCCUGUCCUAUGAAACCAGAGAUAAAAUAGGAAUUUGUCCAAGUCAGAGUUUGGAAAAAACCCAGAAUUCCAGGCUCGGCCUGAUGGUGUUUGCUCUCCGUGCUGCUUCUGGCCACAGACGAGAAGGACACAGUCAUAAAAUUGUGAAGAAGACAGUUAAGAUCCAUGCUGAUGGGAAAAGAGAAUCAGCUAUGCAUUGUACUCUACUGGACAGAGCCUUUCUGUGGCGCAGCGAGGAGUUAUUGAGGUGCAUAAUAAACAUAACCCGUGAACUACAUUCACAGCCAAGAUGUGCUUCAAUCUUUGAAGAGAAAAUUCCUAGAGUUUCUCAUUGAUGUGGCCUAUCAGGGUAUGAGGCUCUUUCCUAGUACAUGCAGAUGCGUACACACACACACACACACACACACACACACUUCUACAUAUAAUUCAUGCUUGUCAUAGAUGUGUCCUUGAAAAAAUCAACUUUUUACUGCAGUCAUUUUUAACAUCUUUAGUAAAUGAGUUAAAAGUUGCAUGAAGAUCUUAUCAGUUCAUUUCCUUUAAAAAUUUUGUGAUUAAAAUCCUGACUUAUAAUCCUCUGACAAGAUUUUAGGUAGUUUAAUUGUUUUGAUUUAUUGUCACUGGUAUUUUUAAAAAAGCUUUGCAAUUAUUUCUGAAAAGCUUAAUUUCUAGGGAAUUAUUAUUUCUUUGUUGGUAAAGCACAAUGGGUAUUAAUGUUUAUCUUCUUAGGAAUACUGUAUUAUAAUUUUAUGAGAAAAUAAGUAAAAAUAUAGUAUAUUAUA